CGGGUGCACUGAUCCAGCCGGGCCUUUCCCUCUGUGGAACCCCAUGGCCUUCACUGGCUGUGGUGGGGAAACAGGACUUUUACUUUGAAAAAAUUAGAGUGCUCCAGGCAGGCCUAUGCUCGAAUACAUUAGCAUGGAAUAAUAGAAUAGGACGUGUGGGUUCUAUUUUGUCGGUUUCUAGGACCGCCGUAAUGAUUAAUAGGGACAGUCGGGGGCAUCAGUAUUCAAUUGUCAGAGGUGAAAUUCUUGGAUCUAUUGAAGACUAACUACUGCGAAAGCAUUUGCCAAGGAUGUUUUCAUUGAUAAGGAACGAAAGUUAGGGGAUCGAAGACGAUCAGAUACCGUCGUAGUCUUAACUAUAAACUAUGCCGACUAGGGAUCGGACGAUGUUAUUCUUUGACGCGUUCGGCACCUUUCGAGAAAUCAAAGUGCUUGGGCUCCAGGGGGAGUAUGGUCGCAAGGCUGAAACUUAAAGAAAUUGACGGAAGGGCACCACCAGGGGUGGAACCUGCGGCUUAAUUUGACUCAACACGGGGAAACUCACCAGGUCCAGACACAGUGAGGAUUGACAGAUUGAGAGCUCUUUCUUGAUUCUGUGGGUGGUGGUGCAUGGCCGUUCUUAGUUGGUGGAGUGAUUUGUCUGCUUAAUUGCGAUAACGAACGAGACCUUAACCUGCUAAAUAGCCCGUACUGCUUUGGCAGUUCGCCGGCUUCUUAGAGGGACUAUCGG
RNAcentral lists this ribosomal RNA (730 nucleotides) under uncultured eukaryote. Its description in RNAcentral is "SSU rRNA". It matches the Rfam family "Eukaryotic small subunit ribosomal RNA", at positions 670 to 1426 of the family's 1831-position model. The record is from RNAcentral.